Molecule: ribosomal RNA, 468 nt
Filed under: uncultured bacterium
Lineage: Bacteria
Description: partial 16S ribosomal RNA
Rfam family: Bacterial small subunit ribosomal RNA
Source: RNAcentral
GACGAACGCUGGCGGCGUGCUUAACACAUGCAAGUCGAACGGAAAGGCCCUGAUUUUGUGGGGUGCUCGAGUGGCGAACGGGUGAGUAACACGUGUGUAACCUGCCCUUGACUUUGGGGUAACUUCACGAAACUGGGGCUAAUACCGGAUAGGAUAUCCUGCUGCAUGGUGGGGGUUGGAAAGUUGCGGCGGUUGUGGAUGGACUCGCGGCUUAUCAGCUUGUUGGUGGGGUAGUGACUUACCAAGGCUUUGACGGCUAGCCGGCCUGGGCGGGUGAACGGGCACAUGGGGACUACGGGACGCACCAGAGUGCAACGGGAGGCAGUAGGGGGGAAUAUUGCACAACGGGCGGAAGCCUGAGGCGAAAACGUUGCGUGCGGGAAGACGGCUUUCGGGGUGAAAACAGCUGUCGCCUGUGACGAAGCGUGAGUGACGGUAAUGAGUAAAGAAGCACCGGCUAACUACGUG